UACGAAGGGGGCUAGCGUUGUUCGGAAUUACUGGGCGUAAAGGGCGCGUAGGCGGCCAGUCAAGUGGAAGGUGAAAUCCCUCGGCUUAACCGAGGAACUGCCUUCCAGACUGUUUGGCUUGAGACCAGGAGAGGUGAGUGGAAUUCCCAGUGUAGCGGUGAAAUGCGUAGAUAUUGGGAGGAACACCAGUGGCGAAGGCGGCUCACUGGACUGGUACUGACGCUGAGGCGCGAAAGCGUGGGGAGCAAACGGG
Molecule: ribosomal RNA, 253 nt
Filed under: uncultured bacterium
Lineage: Bacteria
Description: partial 16S ribosomal RNA
Rfam family: Bacterial small subunit ribosomal RNA
Source: RNAcentral